Molecule: ribosomal RNA, 309 nt
Filed under: Triticum aestivum (bread wheat)
Lineage: Eukaryota; Viridiplantae; Streptophyta; Magnoliopsida; Poales; Poaceae
Description: partial small subunit ribosomal RNA
Source: RNAcentral
AUGCUCUAUGUCUGCUCUUGGCUUCGGUACCUUGAUCUCUCCUACAACGGCUUCCAUGGAUUCCUUCCUCAAGACAUCAGCCGGUUAUCACCAUCUACGAAGCACCUCAACCUAACUAACAACAACUUAAGUGCAGUUCUACUGAUGCCGGUGGCCGAGCUUUCGGCACUCCAGAACCUGCUUCUUGACAUGAGUGGCUUCACCGGCGAGAUUCUAGAGCCAUUCUCAAGCCUAAAGGAACUAACCAUGUUGGACCUAUGGGGCAACAAGCUCAGUGGUUCAAUCCCUGUCUGGAUCUGGGAGCACUAA